AAUAUUCGAAAAUGGGCGAAUGCCUGAUCCAGCCAUGCCGCGUGUGUGAAGAAGGUAUUCGGAUUGUAACGCACUUUAAGUUGGGAGGAAGGGCAGUAAGUUCAUACCUUGCUGUUUUGACGUUACCAACAGAAUAAGCACCGGCUAACUCUGUGCCAGCAGCCGCAGUAAUACAGAGGGUGCAAUGGUUAAUCGGAAUUACUGGGGGGAAAACGCGCGUAGGUGGUUCAGUAAGAUGGGUGUGAAAUCCCCGAGCUUAACCUGGGAACUGCUUUCAUAACUACUGAGCUAGAGUACGGUAGAGGGUAGUGGAAUUUCCUGUGUAGCGGUGAAAUGCGUAGAUAUAGGAAGGAACAACAGUGGCGAAGGCGGCUGCCUGGACUGAUACUGACACUGAGGUGCGAAAGCAUGGGGAGCAAACA
RNAcentral lists this ribosomal RNA (422 nucleotides) under uncultured bacterium. Its description in RNAcentral is "partial 16S ribosomal RNA". It matches the Rfam family "Bacterial small subunit ribosomal RNA", at positions 360 to 774 of the family's 1533-position model. The record is from RNAcentral.